Molecule: transfer RNA, 72 nt
Filed under: bacterium
Lineage: Bacteria
Also listed under: 3 other names
Description: tRNA-Ala
Rfam family: tRNA
About the family: Transfer RNA (tRNA) molecules are approximately 80 nucleotides in length. Their secondary structure includes four short double-helical elements and three loops (D, anti-codon, and T loops).
Source: RNAcentral
GGGGAUGUAGCUCAGCGGGAGAGCACUGCUUUCGCACGGCAGGGGUCGGGGGUUCAAAUCCCCUCAUCUCCA